Carassius auratus (goldfish) is the source of this 755-nucleotide RNA transcript. It is a transcript of the gene named N-acetylgalactosamine kinase-like, with no coding region annotated. The transcript has 4 exons. The record is from RefSeq and is a predicted model, not a curated record. NCBI's taxonomy places the organism in Eukaryota, Metazoa, Chordata, Actinopteri, Cypriniformes, Cyprinidae.
CAGUCAGCUGACAGUCAGCACUUGUGCAGUGUCAGUCUACUCGUGCGAUAGUGUAUUUACUGCAAAACAAAGCUUAAAAUCCGCACAAUGACCACAGUUCCUCCGGAAAUCAAAGUGUUUUUCAGUGGGAAUGAAAGGUGAGCAUGUUGAUUAUUGUGGCUAUGCUGUGCUGCCAAUGGCAAUAGAGCAGAAUAUUCUCGCUGCAGUUUCUGUGAGUGACUCCAAAGCAAUCCAGCUGGCCAACACUGAGCCCAAAUACAAUGUCUGUGGAUGGCAUCUCCAUUGACAGAGAUGAUCCUCAUUUGAGUGAGAGGAAUCCAGGGAUGUGUUGUAUGGUAGACGGGACUAUCCCGGCCAGCUCGGGUCUGUCCAGCUCCAGUGCCCUGGUGUGCUGUGCUGCUCUGGUCUCGACGGAGGCCAAUCAGAAGUCUCUGUCUAAGGUGGCCCUUACUGUAAACCCCCUUACAUGCAUUACACACAACUGCUGCUGAUCAUAGAUGUGCACUGAUGUGAUUUCAGGUGACUCUUGCAGAGACGUGUUCCCAGUGUGAGCGUUAUAUUGGCACUGAGGGGUUAGGAAUGGAUCAGUCCAUUUCUUUUCUCACAGAGGAGGGGACAGUAAGCCAUGUGUUAAAUAUUUCUUCUUUCAAUAUAUGCCAUUUGAUUAAUUUUUGGUAUUAGGGUCAAUAGCUGAUCCUCUUUUUUGUGACCACAAAAAAAAAACCAAUUUAUGUAAAAUAAUGACAGAAUGUUUU